GUUUGGGUGAUGACUUUUAGCAACUUGUCGGAUACCCCUUCACUCAUGUUAUGAGUGAGAACAAAAGUCUGACAAAC
Small nucleolar RNA from Indicator indicator, 77 nucleotides. RefSeq annotates it as small nucleolar RNA SNORD101. The transcript has a single exon. The record is from RefSeq and is a predicted model, not a curated record. Lineage: Eukaryota; Metazoa; Chordata; Aves; Piciformes; Indicatoridae.